RNAcentral lists this ribosomal RNA (446 nucleotides) under uncultured bacterium. Its description in RNAcentral is "bacterial SSU rRNA". It matches the Rfam family "Bacterial small subunit ribosomal RNA", at positions 329 to 792 of the family's 1533-position model. The record is from RNAcentral.
UGCCAGACUCCUACGGGAGGCAGCAGUGGGGAAUAUUGCACAAUGGGGGAAACCCUGAUGCAGCGACGCCGCGUGAGUGAAGAAGUAUUUCGGUAUGUAAAGCUCUAUCAGCAGGGAAGAAGAUGACGGUACCUGACUAAGAAGCCCCGGCUAACUACGUGCCAGCAGCCGCGGUAAUACGUAGGGGGCAAGCGUUAUCCGGAUUUACUGGGUGUAAAGGGAGCGUAGACGGCAGGGCAAGUCUGGAGUGAAAGCCCGGGGCCCAACCCCGGGACUGCUUUGGAAACUGCCAUGCUAGAGUGCUGGAGAGGUAAGCGGAAUUCCUAGUGUAGCGGUGAAAUGCGUAGAUAUUAGGAGGAACACCAGUGGCGAAGGCGGCUUACUGGACAGUAACUGACGUUGAGGCUCGAAAGCGUGGGGAGCAAACAGGAUUAGAUACCCCGGUA